Molecule: transfer RNA, 71 nt
Filed under: Scarus ghobban (blue-barred parrotfish)
Lineage: Eukaryota; Metazoa; Chordata; Actinopteri; Labriformes; Labridae
Description: tRNA-Ser
Source: RNAcentral
CGGAGAGAGGUCUGCCCGACAGAAAGUGGUUGCUACCCGCUCCUCCCCAGGUUGAAUUCCUAGGCUCCCCU